This 1356-nucleotide long non-coding RNA is filed under the name Mytilus galloprovincialis (Mediterranean mussel). Lineage: Eukaryota; Metazoa; Mollusca; Bivalvia; Mytilida; Mytilidae. The record is from RNAcentral.
GCCUGUUAAGGAUAUAUGCUUAGUUUGUAUUUGUAGGAAUGUUGUUGUUUAAGUUGCUAGCUGUUUAUUCGUCACAUAUAUCUAAUUAAGAUGUAGUGGUAAAACUUGUAAUCGAAGAUAACUCAUCAAAGAUAUCAAGCUAAUAAUUAUAUACGCCAAACACGCGUUUAUUCUACAAUGGACUUUCAGUGACAUUACAUUAAAAUAAUAUAAUUCCACAUAAGGUACGAAGAUGAAGAGCAUGUUUGCCAAACAGUUUCUUUAUAAAUAUAACAAUGAUAUUGUUUGUCAAUAUUGAAGUGCUAACUUCUGGUCUUCUGAUACCAUGGGAGAUGAUACCUUAAUUACAAGUGACAUGGACCAAAAUGUUGUCAAUAUAGGCAAACGGGAUAAUAUUCUUUCCAUAUCUGUAAUUUUUGUCAUUUUUGGUAAAGAUGUAUCACUGGCUGAAUCUACGGUGUUAAUAUAUCAUAUUUUGUUAGGUGUAUUCUUGUUUGUAGUUAUGUUUGUCAUUUCAAUGAACGCAAUUCAUGUAUUACUGGUUAAUUAUUAAUUCCAUUGAACUAAAUCCUGCUUCAUUGGGGUAAAAAUCUCGAGACUGGAAAAAGGGUAGCAAAGGGAAUUUGUCUUAUGCUUGUUUGCAUUUAAACUAUGACCUUAUCUGCGAACAAUAAUUGUCCUUAUACCAGUCGUUCCUCGGACAUAAAUAUUGUUGCAUUUCAAGGUACGUUCAUAGUUGAUACAAUGAGAACUUAAAUCGUACCUUCAAUUGAAUCAUCGUUUAUGUGGGCAGGCGAUGAUUUCUGGUAUUCUUUACGCAUAUUACAAAGCUUUUUCUGACCAUUAGCAUGUUUAGUUUAAGGUUCUGGUGCAAAACUUAGUUGGCAUUCAUUUUGUAGACGAGUACAAUUAUAAAUUCUAAUAAUAUGUUUUAAUACUUGAAUAAUCAGUUAAAAGGCUGGGUCAUUUUGACCAUUUAACCUUUUUUUUUAACUUUAAAGCGUUACUCAUAUAUAUUUCAUAGAGAUACUCCUUCCUAAGGCACAAGUUAUACGGGCACAUACAUUGUGUAGGAACUAGACAACAUCCAGCUAGGACACACAUAUUAAUUAUAAUAAAAGCAAAAGCCUUGUGUGACCCUUCACAUUGAGCAGAUUCUUAUCCGUGUUAUAUAGAUAUAGGAAGAUGUGGUGUGAGUGCCAAUGAGACAACUCUCCAUCUAAAUAACAAUUUUAAAAAAGUAAACCAUUAAAGGUCAAUGUACGGCCUUCAACACGGAUCCUUGGCUCACACCGAACAACAAGCUAUAAAAGGCUCUCAAACGGGAAAACCAACGGUCUAAUCUAUAUAAAAAAA